UGGGGAAUAUUGCACAAUGGGGGAAACCCUGAUGCAGCGACGCCGCGUGAGGGAAGACGGUUUUCGGAUUGUAAACCUCUGUCUCUGGUGAAGAUAAUGACGGUAACCAGAGAGGAAGCCACGGCUAACUACGUGCCAGCAGCCGCGGUAAUACGUAGGUGGCAAGCGUUGUCCGGAAUUAUUGGGCGUAAAGGGUGCGUAGGCGGCAUGAUAAGUCUGAAGUAAAAGCCAAUGGCUCAACCAUUGUAAGCUUUGGAAACUGUCAAGCUAGAGUACAGGAGAGGUUAGUGGAAUUCCAUGUGUAGCGGUAAAAUGCGUAGAUAUAUGGAGGAACACCAGUGGCGAAGGCGGCUAACUGGCCUGUAACUGACGCUGAAGCACGAAAGCGUGGGGAGCAAAUA
RNAcentral lists this ribosomal RNA (401 nucleotides) under uncultured bacterium. Its description in RNAcentral is "bacterial SSU rRNA". It matches the Rfam family "Bacterial small subunit ribosomal RNA", at positions 355 to 774 of the family's 1533-position model. The record is from RNAcentral.